AGUGGCGCACGGGUGAGUAACACGUAGCCAACCUGCCCUCCGGUGGGGGAUAACCUGGGGAAACUCGGGCUAAUACCGCAUAACCUCCGCACAAGCAAAGGCCCGCUGGGGGAGGGGGCUGCGGCCGAUUAGCUAGUUGGUGAGGUAAUGGCUCACCAAGGCGAUGAUCGGUAGCCGGCCUGAGAGGGCGCACGGCCACACUGGCACUGAAACACGGGCCAGACUCCUACGGGAGGCAGCAGUGGGGAAUUUUGCACAAUGCCCGAAAGGGUGAUGCAGCAACGCCGCGUGAGGGAUGAAGGCCUUCGGGUCGUAAACCUCUUUCGACCGGGAAAAAUGAUGGUACUGGUG
Molecule: ribosomal RNA, 351 nt
Filed under: uncultured soil bacterium
Lineage: Bacteria
Description: bacterial SSU rRNA
Rfam family: Bacterial small subunit ribosomal RNA
Source: RNAcentral